AUUGAACGCUGGCGGAAUGCUUUACACAUGCAAGUCAAACGGCAGCACGGACUCCGGUCUGGUGGCGAGUGGCGAACGGGUGAGUAAUGUAUCGGAACGUGCCCAGUCGUGGGGGAUAACGUAGUGAAAAUUACGCUAAUACCGCAUACGAUCUAUGGAUGAAAGCGGGGGAUCGCAAGACCUCGCGCGAUUGGAGCGGCCGAUAUCAGAUUAGGUAGUUGGUGGGGUAAAGGCCCACCAAGCCAACGAUCUGUAGCUGGUCUAAGAGGACGACCAGCCACACUGGAACUGAGACACGGUCCAGACUCCUACGGAAGGCAGCAGUGGGGAAUUUUGGACAAUGGGCGAAAGCCUGAUCCAGCCAUUCCGCGUGCAGGAUGAAGGCCCUCGGGUUGUAAACUGCUUUUGUACAGAACGAAAAGGUUUCUACUAAUACUAGGAGCUCAUGACGGUACUGUAAGAAUAAGCACCGGCUAACUACGUGCCAGCCGCCGCGGUAA
RNAcentral lists this ribosomal RNA (500 nucleotides) under uncultured bacterium. Its description in RNAcentral is "partial 16S ribosomal RNA". It matches the Rfam family "Bacterial small subunit ribosomal RNA", at positions 30 to 523 of the family's 1533-position model. The record is from RNAcentral.